RNAcentral lists this ribosomal RNA (253 nucleotides) under uncultured bacterium. Its description in RNAcentral is "partial 16S ribosomal RNA". It matches the Rfam family "Bacterial small subunit ribosomal RNA", at positions 524 to 776 of the family's 1533-position model. The record is from RNAcentral.
UACGGAGGGUGCGAGCGUUGUCCGGAAUCAUUGGGCGUAAAGGGCGCGUAGGCGGGUCUUUAAGUCAGGGGUGAAAUCCUGGAGCUCAACUCCAGAACUGCCUUUGAUACUGAGGAUCUUGAGUUCGGGAGAGGUGAGUGGAACUGCGAGUGUAGAGGUGAAAUUCGUAGAUAUUCGCAAGAACACCAGUGGCGAAGGCGGCUCACUGGCCCGAUACUGACGCUGAGGCACGAAAGCGUGGGGAGCAAACAGG